AGUGAACGCUGGCGGUAGGCCUAACACAUGCAAGUCGAACGGCAGCACAGUAAGAGCUUGCCCUUACGGGUGGCGAGUGGCGGAUGGGUGAGGAAUACAUCGGAAUCUACUUUUUCGUGGGGGAUAACGUAGGGAAACUUAUGCUAAUACCGCAUACGACCUACCGGUGAAAGCAGUGGAUCUUCGGACCUUGCGCGAUUGAAUGAGCCGAUGUCGGAUUAGCUAGUUGGCGGGGUAAAGGCCCACCAAGGCGACGAUCCGUAGCUGGUCUGAGAGGAUGAUCAGCCACACUGGAACUGAGACACGGUCCAGACUCCUACGGGAGGCAGCAGUGGGGAAUAUUGGACAAUGGGCGCAAGCCUGAUCCAGCCAUACCGCGUGGGUGAAGAAGGCCUUCGGGUUGUAAAGCCCUUUUGUUGGGAAAGAAAAGCAGCAGGCUAAUACCCCGCUGUUCUGACGGUACCCAAAGAAUAAGCACCGGCUAACUUCGUG
RNAcentral lists this ribosomal RNA (492 nucleotides) under uncultured bacterium. Its description in RNAcentral is "partial 16S ribosomal RNA". It matches the Rfam family "Bacterial small subunit ribosomal RNA", at positions 29 to 507 of the family's 1533-position model. The record is from RNAcentral.